This 176-nucleotide non-coding RNA is filed under the name uncultured Ruminococcus sp. The record is from RNAcentral. Lineage: Bacteria; Bacillati; Bacillota; Clostridia; Eubacteriales; Oscillospiraceae.
ACGGUGCCUUUGAUGAAUGGAUCAGAGGGUAAAAGGGAAACAGGUGAAAGUCCUGUACGAUCUCGUCACUGUAAUGGGGGAGCAGGAAGCAAUUGUGCAUCUGCACAGUCACUGACAAUUUGUUGGGAAGGCUGCUUUUUGUGAAGAGCCCGUAGUCAGGAAACCUGCCGUUUAUU